Molecule: ribosomal RNA, 90 nt
Filed under: Klebsiella pneumoniae
Lineage: Bacteria; Pseudomonadati; Pseudomonadota; Gammaproteobacteria; Enterobacterales; Enterobacteriaceae
Description: partial 16S ribosomal RNA
Rfam family: Bacterial small subunit ribosomal RNA (bases 1-80)
Source: RNAcentral
UUACCGCUUUGUGAUUCAUGACUGGGGUGAAGUCGUAACAAGGUAACCGUAGGGGAACCUGCGGUUGGAUCACCUCCUUACCUUAAAGAA